Molecule: long non-coding RNA, 1911 nt
Filed under: Elaeis guineensis (African oil palm)
Lineage: Eukaryota; Viridiplantae; Streptophyta; Magnoliopsida; Arecales; Arecaceae
Description: long non-coding RNA (EGUI_LNC018815)
Source: RNAcentral
GGUAAAGAAGGACCGCAUUGUGGCUAUCUUUUCCACUGCCUAUGGAGAGGUGUCUCCAGUAGUCCCACCCCGUUAAUUGAGGAUGCUUCAUGGAGAAAAAUCCCCCUAUUCCUCAUUAACCAAAUUUGCCAGGUUAUAGCCAUGACUAACUGAUCCCAACCCUUCCUGAGACCCCUCUCAAUCUUCUUUCUUCUCCAGGUUGACCAAAAGUGGAUGAGGUCUUUGGGUCUGCCCGUGACGUUCAACAGAGUUUUGACCACAAACAGCAGGCUUUUGGCGAAUGAGCAUUUGAGAAACAGGUGAGUCACUGAUUCAACGUUGGCUCCAUAGAAAUGGCAAGCCAUGGUGCUUGCCCCGCCUUUCUUAGCCAUUAUCUCACCUGUAUUUAUAGCUUGUUUAAUAGGGCCAGCCACAUGAACACUUUAGUUUUAACAGGGAUCGAGGCUUUCCAAAUGACCUCGUAGAAAUUAAGGCCACAGAACUCCUCCUUGGUUGAGAAGAAAUUGGUAAAACGAGGAAACAGAGAAGCAACCAUUGUUCGUUAAUCUCCAACAAGGGGAAUCCCAGGAAACAGAGAACCAAAUGGCUUUGUCACGCUAAUCUGUUGAUGAUUAGCGUGACAAACUAGGCAUGAUCUACCUUUUAUUUUUCCUGAUCCCACCCGCUCAUUUACGACCAGUUGGCAACCAUAAUCACUUCCACCUCAUCCUCAAAAUAAAAUUCGUAAGAGGAAAAGCUACGUUGUUAAUUGCCCACAUCAAAGAAGACUGGUGCAAUGGAGCUAUGGCCAUUUGAAUUUAAUGGUCUGACAAUGUUCUGAGAUGUACAUCACCAACUUUUUGGCGGGGCUACUGAAUACUGGUGGGUGGGAGAAGCCUUGCUCUAUCUGAUCUUUCUGAUGCCCUCGAUGGCAUCACAUAUGAUGGAUAUAUUUAUUAGGGAUCAUCAGUUUGUAAACUUAGUAGAUGUUCUGUUCUCGAAGUAACUUGUAGUACUAAUUAAAAACUUUAUAUCAUAAUGGAUUUGCUGGAUCAAUUGGUUUUGACCUGCCUUAAUGGCAUGUGCUUGUGAAGGACAUGCGAAGGGUUAGAAACCAGUAUUCUCCCUUCAGCCAUCAGACCAGCUGCAGUUUGUGCACAGAUGAAAUAAUGGAUUUUUCAUUUUUUGGUUGCACCGAGCAAAUGAUUUAUGGAAGCAGCAUAGUUAAUUACCAAAGAACUAAAAAUCAAGUGUUAGAAAAAAGUUACUACUUGUAUUUCAUAUAUGCAAGUAGUUGCCAAGUCGCGAUUAUACAAGACACAUGUGCAUCAAAUUGAAAAUCACAAAUGCAGACGCCAGAUGUAACACUAGCCUAAAUUGACCUUAUGUGCUCUAGAGAAAUGCUUAGCAGCAGCAACCAUGGAAGCCUUUGGACCGGAUCGCCUUGUCUUUGCUUGGCUUCUAUCAACAAAACAAAGGAAUGUGAACCAUGAUGCUAACACUGAAGAGAAUGUCCCGCAAUCCUCCUUGCUUUCCAUCACUUAAUUGUGUCGGCACAAAACAAAGUGGAGACUCCAGCAGGUCAAACCAAAUAACUCAAAGUGGCUUCUAAAUGUUGAAAGCUUUGGUGGGUGCCUCCAGGAUGUAGUUUAUAUACAGAAACAUUCUUGGUGAGCAAGUUAUUACUUCAGGAAUUAGAAAGCUAUGUUGGAAGACUAGUCAAUCAUGGAGACUGGAGAGAGUUCAAAAGUCCGUAAUAGUUUUUCCUUGGAGAAGGGUGAUGAGAGCUAAUGCUGGCGCGCACCACAAGAAUUCGCUUGGAACCCACGCAUCCGAAGAGAUGCGUGAUUGUCAAUUAAUGCUGUGCGGCUUGGCAGAGACUUUUCAUUAAGCAAGUUAGCUUUGAUCCUUAAGGAUGAUAUAUUUGAUCAC